UACAUUAAAAUAAAGGCUUUAUUUGUGCUGAAACCUUUACUAUGAAUGUAUAGCUCUUUGAUGGAUGCACAUUAGCAUUUCUGUAUCUGGGGCCCACUUUCUAACUAUGGUAUGCUUCUAAGAGACACAGCAAGGAGCUGCUUUUGCAAAAAAGUCUUUCCUCCAUUUUGUUUCAGUCUGGUAAUCAAGCAAUUAGUUCACAAAAUGGAGGGUGUGGCGAGGUGUUUGCAGCUAGCGAAGAGUUGGAAGAUUUCGCUGCGGAAAUGAAUUGAGCAUUUCUUUGACUUCUGAAGGAU
Caretta caretta (loggerhead turtle) is the source of this 296-nucleotide long non-coding RNA. RefSeq lists it as uncharacterized. NCBI's taxonomy places the organism in Eukaryota, Metazoa, Chordata, Testudines, Cheloniidae. The record is from RefSeq and is a predicted model, not a curated record.